RNAcentral lists this unclassified non-coding RNA (375 nucleotides) under soil metagenome. RNAcentral describes it as "partial contains 5.8S ribosomal RNA, internal transcribed spacer 2, and large subunit ribosomal RNA". The stretch from base 1 to 120 matches the Rfam family "5.8S ribosomal RNA", at positions 35 to 154 of the family's 154-position model. The record is from RNAcentral.
GAUGAAGAACGCAGCGAAAUGCGAUAAGUAAUGUGAAUUGCAGAAUUCAGUGAAUCAUCGAAUCUUUGAACGCAUCUUGCGCUCCUUGGUAUUCUGAGGAGCAUGCCUGUUUGAGUGUCAUUAAAUUCUCAACUACACUGACUUUGAAUUGGUGUGGCUUGGAUUUGGGGGGAAAAUUGUUGUGGGCUUUUUGUAUAGUCUGCUCCCCUGAAAUUGAUUAGCGGUACCUUUGUGGAACUGUCUACAGGUGUGAUAAUUAUCUACAUCUUAGACAUCUGCUGGAAUGCUGCUUUCUAAACCUUACUUGUAUUGACAAUCUUGACCUCAAAUCAGGUAGGACUACCCGCUGAACUUAAGCAUAUCAAUAAGCGAGGA